GACAUUACCCAUACAGUUAGCUGGAAGGCAAGUCUACAUUGAGGAAAGUAGAUCAAUCAGCAAUGGUGUUUCUCGUGGAGGUAGUCUGUACCUUAAAAUUAAUUUCAAUUUCACAUUGCGCCUGCGGUACUUAUAUCUCUUUAUGCUUUUCUUAGAGAUUUGUUCUACCUUUUGCUUGCUUGAGUAGUUCUUUGGUUGAACCAAUUACCAUUAUCCUUGUAUGCGGGAUAUAAUAUCUUGGUCAUGAGUUAGCCUGUGUACGAAGAUUUCCUGUUUCAUUUGGAUUGAUAUGACAGUACUUCACCUCCCAAAUAUGUUUGUUUGGUUAUCAACUAACUGGAGGUACUGUGGAUUUUCCAUUUUAUUGGCUUGCGAGUUUUUUUAUUGUAUAAAAGGGAAAUCUUAUUAAGAUACUAAGUACCAGUACAAUGCUUGAUCUUUCUAGGGUACAUAGUUCCUUUUAAGAUCAGUUUCAAAGUUAAGCUUCGCAAAAACAGGAGGUACAACAUGAAACGCAAAAAAAAAAAAAAAAAAAAAAAAAUCGUUGAAUUGCAUCUUCCUUUCUUCCUUCCUUAGCUACGCAGACUGCUACCUUGUUUGCUUCUGUGUAAAUAUGCCAUACCUGAAAUCCUCCUAGCCUAGAUAGUAGGAACCUGCAGUCAUCAAUCAGAUUAGUAUAACAAGUAUUACCUUCUUUUAUCAUGUCAAUCACUUCUCUGGAGUCAUGUUUCAGUUUGUAGCCGAUGGAAUUGAUGCCUUAAUGCUAUUUCUUGACCUUCUCUUAGAGCUCUUAAUUUUGCAUGUGUAUUUGUUAUGUUCUUUUUUCUUAUGGUUAUUUGUUAUGUAGGAGAUAGAUUUGGAUUAUCCCAAAAGCCAGCUACCAUUACUGUUUCUGAAUACACCACUCAAACCCCCUCUGCCUUAGAAGCCCCGUCAAUAUUAAGUUUAAUCCAGCCUGUAUCUGGAGGUUGCCACCUUAUUUGUUUUAAGAUUGUAGUCCUUAGAAGUAUUAUUUCCUAUUAAGGCUCAAAAAAAGUCAGGCUCUUGAUAAAACGUGGUUUGUGAGUUACUUUAGUACUACUCUACAUGUGUUUGCUGGAUUUAUGAAGAAUUCAAACUUAUCAAAGAAAAAGAAGAGAAGAUUUCAAUGAUUACGAGCAGAGCACCAUCAAAGAAUAUUUUAGUAACUGCACUAUCUGCUGCUUUUUGCAUGCAUGUUUUGACCCUCUGUUUAACAUAUUCUUCCACAACUGCCUUGAUCAGGAAGGCAAAGAGGUAAAGGAGGAUGUUCCAGGAUUGAAAUUUUCAGAGGGGAAGCAAUCAAGGCAAUGGUUUUCGUGGCACAUCAUAAUAUAAGAGUAUGACUUACCAACCUGAAAAACUAAAUUUUGGCAGGGGAUGAUAAGGAAUGUGGCUCAGUGUUCUUUCUUUCUGAUGGUAUGGUCUUCUCAUGGAAGGAAUUAGAUAAAUCUCAGUGUUUUUUUAUUGGGCACCGAAUGCAUCCAGAAUAAAUUUUUGCUCUUUCUCCUAUAGUCACAGUUAACGCUAAUUUCUUCUUACAAUAUGGUACUACAAUCCAAGAUGAAAUACUGUUAUUUUGAUUGUUCAAUGCAAGCUUUUCAGAAUGUGUUGAGCAAAGCUAAAUGGUAUGGUGGUGAUAUCAAGCGGCUUCCUCGUAAUCCAUGCCCCCCAAUUCUCCUGAUUGUAAUAUGGUAUUAAACAUGUAAGCUUUGCAAGCAAUGAAAGUGGCGAGGAAAUUGUCAAUAUAAUCGCUUAGCACAAUUGGAGUUUGAAGAGUGCUUCUGUUUCACCAUUCACAGGGUUAGUCAGUCAACCACGACAGCAGAAGAAAUACAGAAGUCCUGUGCAUCAGUUUUAUUACUACCUUAGAGGCUAAAUUACAGGUUCUUCCUAAUUGCUCACUAAGCUUCAGCUAAUACUGCUGUUAAAUAUUUGAAUGAACAAUGAUUUUCUUUCAAGUCAAGCAGUUAUAGAGGUUGUAGCUACGG
Molecule: long non-coding RNA, 2009 nt
Filed under: Nicotiana tabacum (common tobacco)
Lineage: Eukaryota; Viridiplantae; Streptophyta; Magnoliopsida; Solanales; Solanaceae
Description: long non-coding RNA (NTAB_LNC010005)
Source: RNAcentral